This 150-nucleotide unclassified non-coding RNA is filed under the name uncultured Ascomycota. Its description in RNAcentral is "sequence contains ITS1". Lineage: Eukaryota; Fungi; Ascomycota. The record is from RNAcentral.
CCGUAAAACGCGCCCUCCGGGGCACAACAAGCGUUUAUCCACCCUUGAUUUUGAGCACCUCUCGUUUCCUCGGCGGGUUCGCCCGCCAAAUGAGGACCCUUUGAACUCUUGUAGUUAGCAGUUUUUGUCUGAGAUUAUACCAAAUAAUCA